This 112-nucleotide small RNA is filed under the name Mytilus galloprovincialis (Mediterranean mussel). Lineage: Eukaryota; Metazoa; Mollusca; Bivalvia; Mytilida; Mytilidae. The record is from RNAcentral.
AUGUCGGAAUACUCUGGAAACAACUGGUUCUCUGUAUUGUUGACCAUUUUAAUUAUCAAUAAAUCUUUGUUUAACAAUACAGAGAACCAGUUGUUUCCAGAGUAUUCCGACA